AGAUAUUUCACACAGUCUGGACAAUGUGUCUGACCACCAUGUUGGAGCUAUUGGGGCUGAGACAAUGCUGAAGGGCAGGGCUACAUCUUGACCAGGAUGACUGCUUCUAUUCAUCACCAUCACCGCUUAUUUCCAGAACAUCAGCUAUCGUGUGAUGAGGAGCCUGGACCUGAGUCAAAAGGCAGUGGUGAGAUGAGAAUGAUACAGUCACGACAGACAAAAUGAGGAGAGAAAUGGGCGCUGUGAUGGGGAAAGACUAACAGGGAGAAGCUGCAACCCCAGAAGCCAUGUGUAACCUCAAAGCCAUGCAUCCUUCAGUAAGAUGCUGGGGUUUCCAUAGUCCAUCAGGACAAGCAAUUCCUGGUAACACUGCUCUGGCCUGUGGUUAAAUACUUCAGCCCUCUGACGUGAACUGAGGAGUCUAAGGAAGAAGCUAACCCUACUGUUAGGGUGGGAAGAGUGAACAGGAAAGCUUGUCCGUGCUGGCUUAUUUGCAUAACAGGGAUUAUUAGCAUCCACAAAAGACAUUCGAGAUCAUAGUUCUGCUGUGGGCAUAUAGUAAACAUAAUACUUCCUGAA
Long non-coding RNA from Peromyscus eremicus (cactus mouse), 579 nucleotides. RefSeq lists it as uncharacterized. The transcript has 2 exons. Lineage: Eukaryota; Metazoa; Chordata; Mammalia; Rodentia; Cricetidae. The record is from RefSeq and is a predicted model, not a curated record.